This 253-nucleotide ribosomal RNA is filed under the name uncultured bacterium. RNAcentral's name for it is "partial 16S ribosomal RNA". It matches the Rfam family "Bacterial small subunit ribosomal RNA", at positions 524 to 776 of the family's 1533-position model. The record is from RNAcentral.
UACAGAGGGUGCAAGCGUUAAUCGGAAUUACUGGGCGUAAAGCGUGCGUAGGUGGUUAAGUCAGUCGGAUGUGAAAGCCCUGGGCUCAACCUAGGAAUGGCAUUCGAUACUACUUAGCUAGAGUAUGGGAGAGGAAAGUGGAAUUCCACGUGUAGCGGUGAAAUGCGUAGAUAUGUGGAGGAACACCAGUGGCGAAGGCGGCUUUCUGGACCAAUACUGACACUCAGGCACGAAAGCGUGGGGAGCAAACAGG